GUAGGUGGCAAGCGUUGUCCGGAAUUAUUGGGCGUAAAGCGCGCGCAGGCGGUUCUUUAAGUCUGAUGUGAAAGCCCACGGCUCAACCGUAGGAGGGUCAUUGGAAACUGGAGAACUUGAGUACAGAAGAGGAAAGCGGAAUUCCACGUGUAGCGGUGAAAUGCGUAGAGAUGUGGAGGAACACCAGUGGCGAAGGCGGCUUUCUGGUCUGUAACUGACGCUGAGGCGCGAAAGCGUGGGGGAGCAAACAGGAUUAGAUACCCUGGUAGUCCACGCCGUAAACGAUGAGUGCUAAGUGUUAGGGGGUUUCCGCCCCUUAGUGCUGCAGCUAACGCAUUAAGCACUCCGCCUGGGAGUACGGCCGCAAGGCUG
Molecule: ribosomal RNA, 372 nt
Filed under: uncultured organism
Description: partial 16S ribosomal RNA
Rfam family: Bacterial small subunit ribosomal RNA
Source: RNAcentral